UUUGAGCUCGCAAUGCACAUGCGCGUUCGGGCUGCUGUCGCGUCACAAACGUUUGGCCUCACGUCGCCUGAGGAGCCGCUUCCGUCGCAGCUGCAAUAAUAUGGGCAUGGCGCUCGCUCCUGUCGGUUUCCGUGCUCCUCUCUCAGUCAGCAUCAGCACCAGCGUCUUUUUUCUUCUCUCCCCCAUCCUCCCCGGGAAAGAGCAAAGGAGCAGUGCGCCCAUUCCUCCUCAACCUGGAGUCGCCGACACGGUGCCUCGCCAUCUACCGGAGGAAUGUGUCUACACCGGGGAGGAUGCUGCGUUUGAGGCUGACACGGAAACUUCCCCUUUUUUAUAAAAAAAAAAAAAGGCUUUAUGGGUUGCUGACACCAUCAGAGCCUCCCACGGCCAGCAAGGCACCAUUGAACACAACCAGGGACAUCUGAGGCACGAUACACAACUCCAGGCCGAGCUCGUCUCUGCCCCCGGCCACAUAGACGUGUCCCAGGUAGACGGUGCAGCCGGCGUUCUCCCGGGGACUCCGCAUGUGGGCACAUAUCGACCAGCAUCGGACCUUGUCUUCUCCACCCACCGCGUAUAUCUUCCCACCCAGCGAGCCCACGGCCACGGAGCCUCGACUGUUGACCAUGCGCGCCGCAGAUCUCCACUCGUUGUGCUCGGGACAGAACUGUUCCACCAAGCAGGACGGGUCGUCCUGGGUCCAUCCCCCGACUACCGAAGCAGAACAGGCAGUUGGAAGAUUGUGAUGAAGACUAUUCAUUAUGUUUCCAAGGUCAGGAAUCAACUGUCACCAUCACCAAGUCUGAUUAUUGACUGAAUAAGGGUCUGCCUGUUUGGAGAAAGAAGGAAGAUGUUUGCUCAGGAUAAGGACACUGCUGUGUGAUGAAUGGAGAUGUAGAGCUGCGGUUGCACACCUUCAUGUGAGAUGCUCUAAUCUCCUGUCUGUUACACUCCAGCAGGGAUUUACCGAUGACUGCACUUCACCUCCUGUCUUCUGAGAGCUGGAAACAAUUCAAGGGUGGCUGUGCUGGUAUUCACCCAUCUUAUGGCUCGUACUCCACUUUUUUACAUUUCAGAUGCCAGUGGUGAUAUGUGAGGAUCUGAAUCUUGGUCUCGGUGGGAAGAAAUCUAAAUAGAAAUACUCGGUAUCUUUUAUUGUGACAAAUUCCAUACAAGAGAAUUUAUAUAAAAAAAUGCCACAUAUUGUAUGAAUUUGUAGUUAGAAAUAAGCAACAUUUGUCCAAUGUAAGCAGUUGCUAAAUGAUAAUGUCAUUAUCUUGUUGUCUAAUAGGUCGGAGGCACUGCUACAAUGGUGUCUUGGGAACCAGGGUCGACCACAGUAACAUAAUCACCUCUCUUUCAUGAUUGGACAUCCAUCACACUACCGGACUCAACAGCAUUUUACAGUUUGAGGUUACAAGCACAGAGUCAAAUAUACUGUAGAUAUGACUUUAUACUCAAACAUGAGUUCCUCCACCCUGCAUACAGGUUCUGGGAUUAUAACAGUAAAAAGUAUAGAAAUUAAUUAAAAUAUUCCAUGACCUACAACUAUUUUUUAUGUUUAUAUUCCUUAUUCUUUAUAUUUUUGCAUUUGUUUCACAAUGUCCCUCUUAUUUCCACUCGCACA
This is a long non-coding RNA of Scophthalmus maximus (turbot), 1627 nucleotides long. RefSeq lists it as uncharacterized. NCBI's taxonomy places the organism in Eukaryota, Metazoa, Chordata, Actinopteri, Pleuronectiformes, Scophthalmidae. The record is from RefSeq and is a predicted model, not a curated record. The transcript is spliced from 6 exons.